UUAGGUAGCGCCUCGUGAAUUCAUCUCCGGGGGUAGAGCACUGUUUCGGCUAGGGGGCCAUCCCGGCUUACCAACCCGAUGCAAACUGCGAAUACCGGAGAAUGUUAUCACGGGAGACACACGGCGGGUGCUAACGUCCGUCGUGAAGAGGGAAACAACCCAGACCGCCAGCUAAGGUCCCAAAGUCAUGGUUAAGUGGGAAACGAUGUGGGAAGGCCCAGACAGCCAGGAUGUUGGCUUAGAAGCAGCCAUCAUUUAAAGAAAGCGUAAUAGCUCACUGGUCGAGUCGGCCUGCGCGGAAGAUGUAACGGGGCUAAACCAUGCACCGAAGCUGCGGCAGCGACGCUUAUGCGUUGUUGGGUAGGGGAGCGUUCUGUAAGCCUG
RNAcentral lists this ribosomal RNA (384 nucleotides) under Salmonella enterica. RNAcentral's name for it is "partial 23S ribosomal RNA". It matches the Rfam family "Bacterial large subunit ribosomal RNA", at positions 870 to 1251 of the family's 2925-position model. Lineage: Bacteria; Pseudomonadati; Pseudomonadota; Gammaproteobacteria; Enterobacterales; Enterobacteriaceae. The record is from RNAcentral.